Molecule: ribosomal RNA, 659 nt
Filed under: uncultured bacterium
Lineage: Bacteria
Description: bacterial SSU rRNA
Rfam family: Bacterial small subunit ribosomal RNA
Source: RNAcentral
GCGCUAAUAGAUGAGCCUAAGUCGGAUUAGCUAGUUGGUGGGGUAAAGGCCUACCAAGGCGACGAUCUGUAGCGGGUCUGAGAGGAUGAUCCGCCACACUGGGACUGAGACACGGCCCAGACUCCUACGGGAGGCAGCAGUGGGGAAUAUUGGACAAUGGGGGGAACCCUGAUCCAGCCAUGCCGCGUGUGUGAAGAAGGCCUUAUGGUUGUAAAGCACUUUAAGCGAGGAGGAGGCUACUUUAGAUAAUACCUAGAGAUAGUGGACGCUACUCGCAGAAUAAGCACCGGCUAACUCUGUGCCAGCAGCCGCGGUAAUACAGAGGGUGCAAGCGUUAAUCGGAUUUACUGGGCGUAAAGCGCGCGUAGGCGGCUAAUUAAGUCAAAUGUGAAAUCCCCGAGCUUAACUUGGGAAUUGCAUUCGAUACUGGUUAGCUAGAGUGUGGGAGAGGAUGGUAGAAUUCCAGGUGUAGCGGUGAAAUGCGUAGAGAUCUGGAGGAAUACCGAUGGCGAAGGCAGCCAUCUGGCCUAACACUGACGCUGAGGUGCGAAAGCAUGGGGAGCAAACAGGAUUAGAUACCCUGGUAGUCCAUGCCGUAAACGAUGUCUACUAGCCGUUGGGGCCUUUGAGGCUUUAGUGGCGCAGCUAACGCGAUAAGU